CCUACGGGAGGCAGCAGUGGGGAAUAUUGGACAAUGGGCGCAAGCCUGACCCAGCAACGCCGCGUGAAGGAAGAAGGCUUUCGGGUUGUAAACUUCUUUUCUCAGGGACGAAGGAAGUGACGGUAACUGAUGAGUAAGCCACGGCUAACUGCGUGCCAGCAGCCGCGGUAAUACGUAGGUGGCAAGCGUUAUCCGGAUUUACUGGGUGUAAAGGGCGUGUAGGCGGGACUGCAAGUCAGAUGUGAAAACCACGGGCUCAACCUGUGGACUGCAUUUGAAACUGUAGGUCUUGAGUACUGGAGAGGCAGACGGAAUUCCUAGUGUAGCGGUGAAAUGCGUAGAUAUUAGGAGGAACACCAGUGGCGAAGGCGGUCUGCUGGACAGCAACUGACGCUGAGGCGCGAAAGCGUGGGGAGCAAACAGGAUUAGAUACCCCUGUAGUC
This 443-nucleotide ribosomal RNA is filed under the name uncultured bacterium. RNAcentral describes it as "partial 16S ribosomal RNA". It matches the Rfam family "Bacterial small subunit ribosomal RNA", at positions 338 to 795 of the family's 1533-position model. The record is from RNAcentral.